This is a small nuclear RNA of Apodemus sylvaticus (European woodmouse), 103 nucleotides long. NCBI's taxonomy places the organism in Eukaryota, Metazoa, Chordata, Mammalia, Rodentia, Muridae. The record is from RefSeq and is a predicted model, not a curated record.
GUGUGUCGGCAGCACAUAUACUAAAACUGGAAUGAUACAGAGAAGAUUAGCAUGGCCCCUGCACAAGGAUGACAUGCAAAUUCUUGAGUAGGCCACUUAUUUU